RNAcentral lists this transfer RNA (73 nucleotides) under Halisarca harmelini. RNAcentral's name for it is "tRNA-Lys". It matches the Rfam family "tRNA". From Rfam's summary of the family: Transfer RNA (tRNA) molecules are approximately 80 nucleotides in length. Their secondary structure includes four short double-helical elements and three loops (D, anti-codon, and T loops). Further hydrogen bonds mediate the characteristic L-shaped molecular structure. tRNAs have two regions of fundamental functional importance: the anti-codon, which is responsible for specific mRNA codon recognition, and the 3' end, to which the tRNAs corresponding amino acid is attached (by aminoacyl-tRNA synthetases). tRNAs cope with the degeneracy of the genetic code in two manners: having more than one tRNA (with a specific anti-codon) for a particular amino acid; and 'wobble' base-pairing, i.e. permitting non-standard base-pairing at the 3rd anti-codon position. Lineage: Eukaryota; Metazoa; Porifera; Demospongiae; Chondrillida; Halisarcidae. The record is from RNAcentral.
UGGUGUGUAACUCAGAAGGUAGAGUAAUAGGCUUUUAACCUGAAGGUUGUUGGUUCGACUCCAAUCAUACCAA